UAAAACCCAAACGGUGCUAACAGUUUGCAGGGAAAUUAGAUUCAUGAGAUUGCAUAACAAAAUGCUCCUCGUAUAUGUUGUUAUUUAAUGUCUCAUAUUUAAUGCAAUCAAUUUCCAUUUUUUAUUCACAAAAAGAUGGAUUUUGGACAUGGGAAUUGCAAACAUUAGGCUACAGUUGCGCAUUUUUUUUUUUAACCACGCACAUCCUUAAAGUAAC
This is a non-coding RNA of Pelobates cultripes (western spadefoot toad), 217 nucleotides long. The record is from the annotation of a GenBank genome assembly. Lineage: Eukaryota; Metazoa; Chordata; Amphibia; Anura; Pelobatidae.